CGCAACGAGCGCAACCCCUAUUGAUAGUUACCAUCAUUAAGUUGGGUACUCUAUUAAGACGGCCGCUGACAAGGCGGAGGAAGGUGGGGACGACGUCAAGUCAUCAUGGCACUUACGACCAGGGCUACACACGUGCUACAAUGGGUAUUACAGAGGGCUGCGAAGGUGCGUGCUGGAGCGAAACUCAAAAAGGUACUCUUAGUCCGGAUUGCAGUCUGCAACUCGACUGCAU
RNAcentral lists this ribosomal RNA (232 nucleotides) under Francisella tularensis subsp. holarctica. RNAcentral's name for it is "partial 16S ribosomal RNA". It matches the Rfam family "Bacterial small subunit ribosomal RNA", at positions 1088 to 1321 of the family's 1533-position model. The record is from RNAcentral. Lineage: Bacteria; Pseudomonadati; Pseudomonadota; Gammaproteobacteria; Thiotrichales; Francisellaceae.